GAGUUUGAUCCUGGCUCAGGAUGAACGCUAGCGGCAGGCUUAACACAUGCAAGUCGAGGGGCAGCGUGGGGCAGCAAUGCUCUGACGGCGACCGGCGGAAGGGUGCGUAACACGUGAGCGACUUGCCCGUCACAGGGGGAUAACCGGCGGAAACGGCGACUAAUACCCCAUAUGAUGUGAUGCUGCAUGGCAUCGCAUUGAAAGAUUCAUCGGUGGCGGAUAGGCUCGCGGGACAUUAGCUAGACGGCGGGGCAACGGCCCACCGUGGCGACGAUGUCUAGGGGUUCUGAGAGGAAGACCCCCCACACUGGGACUGAGACACGGCCCAGACUCCUACGGGAGGCAGCAGUGAGGAAUAUUGGUCAAUGGGCGGAAGCCUGAACCAGCCAUGCCGCGUGAAGGACUAAGGCCCUACGGGUCGUAAACUUCUUUAGACGCAGAGCAAUAAGGUCCACGCGUGGACCGAUGAGAGUAUGCGUAGAAUAAGCAUCGGCUAACUCCGUGCCAGCAGCCGCGGUAAUACGGGGGAUGCGAGCGUUAUCCGGAUUCAUUGAGUUUAAAGGGUGCGUAGGCGGCCGAGUAAGUCAGCGGUGAAAGACCGGGGCUCAACCCUGGAAGUGCCGUUGAUACUGUUUGGCUGGAAUGAUCCCGCCGCGGGAGGAAUGAGUGGUGUAGCGGUGAAAUGCGUAGA
This 691-nucleotide ribosomal RNA is filed under the name uncultured bacterium. RNAcentral's name for it is "bacterial SSU rRNA". It matches the Rfam family "Bacterial small subunit ribosomal RNA", at positions 9 to 694 of the family's 1533-position model. The record is from RNAcentral.